GCUCCAGUAGUGUAGUGGCCAAUCAUCUAGGACUCUCACUCCUAUGACUCGGGUUCAAAUCCCGGCUGGAGCA
This 73-nucleotide transfer RNA is filed under the name Methanosarcinales archaeon. Its description in RNAcentral is "tRNA-Glu". It matches the Rfam family "tRNA". From Rfam's summary of the family: Transfer RNA (tRNA) molecules are approximately 80 nucleotides in length. Their secondary structure includes four short double-helical elements and three loops (D, anti-codon, and T loops). Lineage: Archaea; Methanobacteriati; Methanobacteriota; Methanomicrobia; Methanosarcinales. The record is from RNAcentral.